Molecule: long non-coding RNA, 597 nt
Filed under: Vombatus ursinus (common wombat)
Lineage: Eukaryota; Metazoa; Chordata; Mammalia; Diprotodontia; Vombatidae
Description: lncRNA (ENSVURG00010004823.1)
Source: RNAcentral
UCAGAGUCUGUUAGUAGAAAGCCAAGCAUUCUUAGCUAAUCUAAUUGGUGUUUCCUCUCUUUAAGGAGCAAAUGAUACAAUGACAGGGAUUUCAGAAGGCUACCAGUAUGAAAACAAAACGGUCAUCCUACAUGACCAGUUGGUGGCUACUAAUAAGGGAAUAUACAUUGGAGUUGGUGUCUUUGUUGGGGUGCUUCUCAUUCUGAUUUUACUUGUCUUUGUUUUGAAACGAUAUUUCUAUAACAGAAAGAAUGCACAAACUCUAAGUCUGACUUUCUUGGCGAGUAAUAAAAAUGAAGUUGUAAGGACUGCCACUGAAGAUGGCAACCGAGUAGAGGACAAUGUCUACACGAUUGAAGAUAAUGUCUACAUUGUUGAGGAGGAAAAUGCCUACAUUAUUGAAGAGGAGAAUACCUAUGUCAUGCCAACAUGCAAUGAGAAACAACAACCCUCCAAAGUUUGACCAUAAUAUCCUCAACUGACAGUUCUGGCCUUUUCCAUGUUCAUUUCCUUUUAAGCUCAUGGAUUAUUCCUAGGUGUUAUCUCUACCUGACAGGAGCAAUUGCAACAAUAAACGGUGACUCUGGAGAUGAAACA